AGAGAUCAAGCGAACCUCAUAAAGUGCGUCGUAGUCCGGAUUGGAGUCUGCAACUCGACUCCAUGAAGUCGGAAUCGCUAGUAAUCGUGGAUCAGAAUGCCACGGUGAAUACGUUCCCGGGCCUUGUACACACCGCCCGUCACACCAUGGGAGUGGGUUGCAAAAGAAGUAGGUAGCUUAACCUUCGGGAGGGCGCUUACCACUUUGUGAUUCAUGACUGGGGUGAAGUCGUAACAAGGUAACCGUAGGGGAACCUGCGGUUGGAUCACCUCCUUACCUUAAAGAA
Molecule: ribosomal RNA, 286 nt
Filed under: Escherichia coli
Lineage: Bacteria; Pseudomonadati; Pseudomonadota; Gammaproteobacteria; Enterobacterales; Enterobacteriaceae
Description: partial 16S ribosomal RNA
Rfam family: Bacterial small subunit ribosomal RNA
Source: RNAcentral